This 200-nucleotide ribosomal RNA is filed under the name uncultured bacterium. Its description in RNAcentral is "partial 16S ribosomal RNA". It matches the Rfam family "Bacterial small subunit ribosomal RNA", at positions 524 to 714 of the family's 1533-position model. The record is from RNAcentral.
UACGUAGGGUGCGAGCGUUUUAAUCGGAAUUACUUGGGCGUAAAGCGUGCGCAGGCGGUUUUUUGUAAGCCAGAUGUGAAAUCCCCGGGCUUUUUAACCUGGGAAUGGCAUUUUGGGACUGCAAGGCUCGAGUGCGGCAGAGGAGACUGGAAUUUCCUGGUGAGCAGUGAAAUGCGUAGAGAUCGGGAGGAACAUCUGGU